Microcebus murinus (gray mouse lemur) is the source of this 467-nucleotide non-coding RNA. The record is from RefSeq and is a predicted model, not a curated record. Lineage: Eukaryota; Metazoa; Chordata; Mammalia; Primates; Cheirogaleidae.
GUUUUUUCCCCUAGCUGUGAAAAAGAAAGAGAAAAAGUCUAAGACCAGCGAAAAGAAAGAGAGCAAAGAGAGCAAUGUUGUGAAGAAUGUGGUAGACUCUAGUCAAAAACCUGCCCCAUCAACAAGAGAGGAUCCUGCCCCAAAGAAAAGCAGUAGUGAGCCUCCUCCACGAAAGCCCAUUGAGGAAAAGAGUGAAGAAGGGAAUGCCUCUGCCCCUGGGCCUGAAUCUAAACAAGUCACCACUCCAGCUUCCAGGAAGUCCAGCAAGCAGGUCUCCCAGCCAGCACCAGUCAUCCCCCCACAGCCACCUAGCACAGGACCACCAAGAAAAGAAGUUCCCAAGACCACUCCUAGUGAGCCCAAGAAAAAGCAGCCUCCACCACCAGAAUCAGGUUCAGAGCAAAGCAAGCAGAAAAAAGUGGCUCCCCGCCCAAGUAUCCCUGUAAAACAAAAACCAAAAGAAAAGG